This 497-nucleotide ribosomal RNA is filed under the name uncultured bacterium. Its description in RNAcentral is "partial 16S ribosomal RNA". It matches the Rfam family "Bacterial small subunit ribosomal RNA", at positions 28 to 507 of the family's 1533-position model. The record is from RNAcentral.
GAUGAACGCUGGCGGCGUGCUUAAUACAUGCAAGUCGAGCGAACGGACGAGAAGCUUGCUUCUCUGAUGUUAGCGGCGGACGGGUGAGUAACACGUGGAUAACCUACCUAUAAGACUGGGAUAACUUCGGGAAACCGGAGCUAAUACCGGAUAAUAUUUUGAACCGCAUGGUUCAAAAGUGAAAGACGGUCUUGCUGUCACUUAUAGAUGGAUCCGCGCUGCAUUAGCUAGUUGGUAAGGUAACGGCUUACCAAGGCAACGAUGCAUAGCCGACCUGAGAGGGUGAUCGGCCACACUGGAACUGAGACACGGUCCAGACUCCUACGGGAGGCAGCAGUAGGGAAUCUUCCGCAAUGGGCGAAAGCCUGACGGAGCAACGCCGCGUGAGUGAUGAAGGUCUUCGGAUCGUAAAACUCUGUUAUUAGGGAAGAACAUAUGUGUAAGUAACUGUGCACAUCUUGACGGUACCUAAUCAGAAGGCCACGGCUAACUACGUG